CGUAGGGUACAAGCAUUAAUCGGAAUUAUUGGGCGUAAAGGGCGCGUAGGCGGGGAUGUAAGUCAGGUGUGAAAUACCAAAGCUCAACUUUGGUGCUGCAUUUGAAACUGCAUUUCUUGAGGACUGACGGAGAAAGCGGAAUUCCAUGAGUAGCGGUGAAAUGCGUAGAUACAUGGAGGAACACCGGUGGCGAAAGCGGCUUUCUAGUUUUUACCUGACGCUGAGGCGCGAGAGCAAGGGGAGCAAACAGGAUUAGAUACCCUGGUAGUCCUUGUCGUAAACGAUGUGUACUUGAUGUAGCUAGGCUCAACCCUGGCUGUGUCGGAGCUAACGCGUUAAGUACACCGCCUGAGGAGUACGCUCGCAAGGGUG
RNAcentral lists this ribosomal RNA (372 nucleotides) under uncultured organism. RNAcentral describes it as "bacterial SSU rRNA". It matches the Rfam family "Bacterial small subunit ribosomal RNA", at positions 526 to 896 of the family's 1533-position model. The record is from RNAcentral.